This 497-nucleotide ribosomal RNA is filed under the name uncultured bacterium. RNAcentral's name for it is "partial 16S ribosomal RNA". It matches the Rfam family "Bacterial small subunit ribosomal RNA", at positions 28 to 507 of the family's 1533-position model. The record is from RNAcentral.
GAUGAACGCUGGCGGCGUGCCUAAUACAUGCAAGUCGAGCGAACGGACGAGAAGCUUGCUUCUCUGAUGUUAGCGGCGGACGGGUGAGUAACACGUGGAUAACCUACCUAUAAGACUGGGAUAACUUCGGGAAACCGGAGCUAAUACCGGAUAAUAUUUUGAACCGCAUGGUUCAAAAGUGAAAGACGGUCUUGCUGUCACUUAUAGAUGGAUCCGCGCUGCAUUAGCUAGUUGGAACGGAACCGGCUUACCAAGGCACCGAUGCAUAGCCGACCUGCGAGGGUGAUUGGCCACACUGGAACUGAGACACGGUCCAGACUCCUACGGGAGGCAGCAGUAGGGAAUCUUCCGCAAUGGGCGAAAGCCUGACGGAGCAACGCCGCGUGAGUGAUGAAGGUCUUCGGAUCGUAAAACUCUGUUAUUAGGGAAGAACAUAUGUGUAAGUAACUGUGCACAUCUUGACGGUACCUAAUCAGAAAGCCACGGCUAACUACGUG